GAUGAUGCAUAGCCGACGUUGAGAGACUGAUCGGCCACAUUGGGACGUGAGACACGGCCCAAACUCCUACGGGAGGGCAGCAGUAGGGAAUCUUCCACAAUGGACGCAAGUCUGAUGGAGCAACGCCGCGUGAGUGAAGAAGGGUUUCGGGCUCGUAAAGACUCUGUUGUUGGUGAAGAAGGACAGGGGUAGGUAACUGACCUUUGUUUGACGGUAAUCAAUUAGAAAGUCACGGCUAACUACGUGCCAGCAGCCGCGGUAAAU
RNAcentral lists this ribosomal RNA (264 nucleotides) under uncultured Lactobacillus sp. Its description in RNAcentral is "partial 16S ribosomal RNA". It matches the Rfam family "Bacterial small subunit ribosomal RNA", at positions 275 to 525 of the family's 1533-position model. The record is from RNAcentral. Lineage: Bacteria; Bacillati; Bacillota; Bacilli; Lactobacillales; Lactobacillaceae.